UACGAAGGUGGCAAGCGUUACUCGGAAUUACUAGGCGUAAAGGGCAGGUAGGCGGUUCGGUUAGUCUGUUGUGAAAGCUCCUUGCUUAACGGGGAGAGGCCAACAGAUACUGCCGAGCUUGAGUAUAGGAGAGGGUACUGGAAUUCCCGGUGUAGCGGUGAAAUGCGCAGAGAUCGGGAGGAACACCAAUGGCGAAAGCAGGUACCUGGACUAUUACUGACGCUCAGCUGCGAAAGCUAGGGGAGCAGACAGG
This 253-nucleotide ribosomal RNA is filed under the name uncultured bacterium. RNAcentral's name for it is "partial 16S ribosomal RNA". It matches the Rfam family "Bacterial small subunit ribosomal RNA", at positions 524 to 776 of the family's 1533-position model. The record is from RNAcentral.